CCUACGGGUGGCAGCAGUGGGGAAUAUUGCGCAAUGGGCGAAAGCCUGACGCAGCGACGCCGCGUGAGGGAUGAAGGUCUUCGGAUCGUAAACCUCUGUCAGCAGGGAAGAACGGUCACUGUGCUAAUCAGCAGUGAAUUGACGGUACCUGCAAAGGAAGCACCGGCUAACUCCGUGCCAGCAGCCGCGGUAAUACGGAGGGUGCGAGCGUUAAUCGGAAUUACUGGGCGUAAAGGGCGCGUAGGCGGUAUGUCAAGUCAAGGGUGAAAUCCCCGCGCUCAACGUGGGAACUGCCUUUGAAACUGGCAAACUGGGGUGUGGGAGAGGAUAGUGGAAUUCCAGGUGUAGGAGUGAAAUCCGUAGAUAUCUGGAGGAACAUCAGUGGCGAAGGCGACUAUCUGGCACAUAACUGACGCUGAGGAGCGAAAGCGUGGGUAGCAAACAGGAUUAGAUACCCUAGUAGUC
Molecule: ribosomal RNA, 465 nt
Filed under: uncultured bacterium
Lineage: Bacteria
Description: partial 16S ribosomal RNA
Rfam family: Bacterial small subunit ribosomal RNA
Source: RNAcentral